RNAcentral lists this ribosomal RNA (448 nucleotides) under uncultured bacterium. RNAcentral's name for it is "bacterial SSU rRNA". It matches the Rfam family "Bacterial small subunit ribosomal RNA", at positions 29 to 521 of the family's 1533-position model. The record is from RNAcentral.
AACGAACGCUGGCGGCAGGCCUAACACAUGCAAGUCGAGCGGGGACUUCGGUCCUAGCGGCGGACGGGUGAGUAACGCGUGGGAACGUGCCCUUUGCUUCGGAAUAGCCCCUGGAAACGGGGAGUAAUACCGGAUGUGCCCUUUGGGGGAAAGAUUUAUCGGCAAAGGAUCGGCCCGCGUUGGAUUAGGUAGUUGGUGGGGUAAUGGCCUACCAAGCCGACGAUCCAUAGCUGGUUUGAGAGGAUGAUCAGCCACACUGGGACUGAGACACGGCCCAGACUCCUACGGGAGGCAGCAGUGGGGAAUCUUAGACAAUGGGCGCAAGCCUGAUCUAGCCAUGCCGCGUGAGCGAUGAAGGCCUUAGGGUUGUAAAGCUCUUUCGUGGGGGGAAGAUAAUGACGGUACCCCAAGAAGAAGCCCCGGCUAACUCCGUGCCAGCAGCCGCGGU